AAUGGGCGAAAGCCUGACGGAGCAAGACCGCGUGAGGGAGGAAGGCUCUUGGGUUGUAAACCUCUUUUCUCAGGGAAUAAGCAAUGAAGGUACCUGAGGAAUCAGCAUCGGCUAACUCCGUGCCAGCAGCCGCGGUAAUACGGAGGAUGCAAGCGUUAUCCGGAAUCAUUGGGCGUAAAGCGUCCGCAGGUGGUAAUUCAAGUCGAUUGUCAAAGGCAGUAGCUUAACUACGGACAGGCAGUGGAAACUGGACAACUAGAGUGCGGUAGGGGUAGAGGGAAUUCCCGGUGUAGCGGUGAAAUGCGUAGAGAUCGGGAAGAACACCAGUGGCGAAAGCGCUCUGCUGGACCUGC
RNAcentral lists this ribosomal RNA (353 nucleotides) under Microseira wollei K80. RNAcentral's name for it is "bacterial SSU rRNA". It matches the Rfam family "Bacterial small subunit ribosomal RNA", at positions 370 to 738 of the family's 1533-position model. The record is from RNAcentral. Lineage: Bacteria; Bacillati; Cyanobacteriota; Cyanophyceae; Aerosakkonematales; Aerosakkonemataceae.